GUGUCAGCAGCCGCGGUAAGACGAGGGGUCCUAGCGUUGUUCGGAAUCACUGGGCGUAAAGAGUAUGUAGGCGGCCUUGCAAGUCAGGUGUGAAAUCCCACGGCUCAACCGUGGAAUUGCAUUUGAAACUGCAGGGCUUGAAUAUGGAAGAGGGCAGUAGAAUUCCUGGUGUAGUGGUGAAAUACGUAGAUAUCAGGAGGAAUACCGGUGGCGAAGGCGGCUGCCUGGUCCAAUAUUGACGCUGAGAUACGAAAGUGUGGGGAUCAAACAGGAUUAGAUACCCCAGUAGUCC
RNAcentral lists this ribosomal RNA (292 nucleotides) under uncultured bacterium. RNAcentral's name for it is "partial 16S ribosomal RNA". It matches the Rfam family "Bacterial small subunit ribosomal RNA", at positions 505 to 796 of the family's 1533-position model. The record is from RNAcentral.